GCCGGAGUGGCGAAAUGGCAUACGCAGCGCACUCAAAAUGCGCCGGGGCAACCCAUGGGAGUUCGACUCUCCCCUCCGGCA
This 81-nucleotide transfer RNA is filed under the name Hyphomicrobiales bacterium. RNAcentral describes it as "Rhizobiales bacterium (bioreactor metagenome) tRNA-Leu". It matches the Rfam family "tRNA". Rfam says of the family: Transfer RNA (tRNA) molecules are approximately 80 nucleotides in length. Their secondary structure includes four short double-helical elements and three loops (D, anti-codon, and T loops). Further hydrogen bonds mediate the characteristic L-shaped molecular structure. tRNAs have two regions of fundamental functional importance: the anti-codon, which is responsible for specific mRNA codon recognition, and the 3' end, to which the tRNAs corresponding amino acid is attached (by aminoacyl-tRNA synthetases). tRNAs cope with the degeneracy of the genetic code in two manners: having more than one tRNA (with a specific anti-codon) for a particular amino acid; and 'wobble' base-pairing, i.e. permitting non-standard base-pairing at the 3rd anti-codon position. Lineage: Bacteria; Pseudomonadati; Pseudomonadota; Alphaproteobacteria; Hyphomicrobiales. The record is from RNAcentral.